Long non-coding RNA from Patella vulgata (common limpet), 782 nucleotides. RefSeq lists it as uncharacterized. Lineage: Eukaryota; Metazoa; Mollusca; Gastropoda; Patellidae. The transcript has 4 exons. The record is from RefSeq and is a predicted model, not a curated record.
UAGUUUAUCCAAGAUGACCAUUAAAUCGAUAGAGCGAUAAAAGACGAUCUGUGAAGAAUCUAAGAAUCGCCUGGAUGUACCGAGUGGAUGGAUCUAUACUGUCUCUGAUGUAACCUAUUCUAAAGCAGACUGUAUCGAAUUCUCAGUUGGGAUAAAACUCCUAUUAACGAGUGGUGAAUUUUGUAAUUAAAUCUGGAUUAUUAUCCAAGUCAACCAUUUUAAUAAAAUCGUUUACUUACUUUCAACCAUAAGAUAAUAUAAAAUGGCCGAGCCAUCGAAACUGGAGGAUGAGAUGAAAGCAAAGGCUAAAAAAGCCAUGUUGGCAGAGACUGAUCCGGUUAGAAAAUUAAAGCUGGCGUUUUUGUCUAGAGGUGGAAAAGGCAUAAAAAACCUAACAAGGUGGUUGAGGAUUAUGGAUGACGAUGAUAAUAAGAAGUUAUCAGCCGAGGAAUUUACAGAAGGGAUACAGAAUUUGGGUAUUAAUAAUCUGACAAAGGAUGAAUUGAAGGACGUGUUUAGUAAGUUUGAUAAAGAUGGCAGUGGACAGAUUAAUAUUACAGAAUUUCUUCUGAUGAUGCAGCCUGGGAUGUCAGCACAUCGAAAAGAACUUGUUGAAGCCGCUUUUAAAACAAUGGACAGUACUGGUGAUGGAGUUAUUAAUAUCGAUGAUAUAGAGAAGACCUACGAUUUUUCCAAACAUCCCAAAUACGUAAACGGCGACAUGAAUAAACAAAAGUGCGUCGCAGAAUUUCUGAAUUCUUUUGAUGGAAAUAAUCCUGAUG